This 214-nucleotide long non-coding RNA is filed under the name Nicotiana benthamiana. RNAcentral's name for it is "long non-coding RNA (NBEN_LNC000478)". Lineage: Eukaryota; Viridiplantae; Streptophyta; Magnoliopsida; Solanales; Solanaceae. The record is from RNAcentral.
AAAAUAUCUAGCCUUAUCGCUAGGAUGUAUAUAUAUAUAUGUUUAACUAAACUACCUGUUCCUCUACGAUCACCGGUAUACCUAUGAACAAGUUCUUUACCACAAGUUUUUGCAUUUAGCCCUAUCUUUAUAUCUUAGUUGAAUAAAAAAAUUGCCAAACUAAUGAAGUUUCUGUACGUUUCCGAGGUUGUCUACUAAAAGUGGGAGUUUGUAC